RNAcentral lists this transfer RNA (258 nucleotides) under Aphanizomenon flos-aquae NIER WERT 2. Its description in RNAcentral is "partial 16S-23S ribosomal RNA intergenic spacer". The stretch from base 108 to 180 matches the Rfam family "tRNA". The record is from RNAcentral. Lineage: Bacteria; Bacillati; Cyanobacteriota; Cyanophyceae; Nostocales; Aphanizomenonaceae. RNAcentral also lists the same sequence under 1 other name.
UUCUGGUUCGAGUCCAGGAUGGCCCACCUGAAGGAAGUCAAAAAUCAAAAGUCAAAAGUCAAAAGUAAAUAUUUUUGAGCCGUGACUAUAAAUUUUGAGUUCUUUUUGGGGGUUUAGCUCAGUUGGUAGAGCGCCUGCUUUGCAAGCAGGAUGUCAGCGGUUCGAGUCCGCUAACCUCCACAUUGGAAAAAAGACAGCACCUAACUAUAAAAGUUAGAAUGCUGGAUGAAAUUCCAGUCAGAACCUUGAAAACUGCAA